UACGUAGGGGCUAGCGUUAUCCGGAAUUACUGGGCGUAAAGGGUGCGUAGGUGGUUUCUUAAGUCAGAGGUGAAAGGCUACGGCUCAACCGUAGUAAGCCUUUGAAACUGGGAAACUUGAGUGCAGGAGAGGAGAGUGGAAUUCCUAGUGUAGCGGUGAAAUGCGUAGAUAUUAGGAGGAACACCAGUGGCGAAGGCGACUCUCUGGUCUGUUAUUGACACUGAGGCUCGAAAGCGUGGGAGCAAACAGGAUUAGAUACCCGCGUAGUCCCUGAGCGGG
RNAcentral lists this ribosomal RNA (279 nucleotides) under uncultured prokaryote. RNAcentral describes it as "partial 16S ribosomal RNA". It matches the Rfam family "Bacterial small subunit ribosomal RNA", at positions 524 to 803 of the family's 1533-position model. The record is from RNAcentral.